This 753-nucleotide ribosomal RNA is filed under the name uncultured Pseudomonas sp. Its description in RNAcentral is "bacterial SSU rRNA". It matches the Rfam family "Bacterial small subunit ribosomal RNA", at positions 28 to 776 of the family's 1533-position model. Lineage: Bacteria; Pseudomonadati; Pseudomonadota; Gammaproteobacteria; Pseudomonadales; Pseudomonadaceae. The record is from RNAcentral.
AUUGAACGCUGGCGGCAGGCCUAACACAUGCAAGUCGAGCGGUAGAGAGAAGCUUGCUUCUCUUGAGAGCGGCGGACGGGUGAGUAAUGCCUAGGAAUCUGCCUGGUAGUGGGGGAUAACGUCCGGAAACGGACGCUAAUACCGCAUACGUCCUACGGGAGAAAGCAGGGGACCUUCGGGCCUUGCGCUAUCAGAUGAGCCUAGGUCGGAUUAGCUAGUUGGUGAGGUAAUGGCUCACCAAGGCGACGAUCCGUAACUGGUCUGAGAGGAUGAUCAGUCACACUGGAACUGAGACACGGUCCAGACUCCUACGGGAGGCAGCAGUGGGGAAUAUUGGACAAUGGGCGAAAGCCUGAUCCAGCCAUGCCGCGUGUGUGAAGAAGGUCUUCGGAUUGUAAAGCACUUUAAGUUGGGAGGAAGGGUUGUAGAUUAAUACUCUGCAAUUUUGACGUUACCGACAGAAUAAGCAUCGGCUAACUCUGUGCCAGCAGCCGCGGUAAUACAGAGGGUGCAAGCGUUAAUCGGAAUUACUGGGCGUAAAGCGCGCGUAGGUGGUUUGUUAAGUCGGAUGUGAAAUCCCCGGGCUCAACCUGGGAACUGCAUUCAAAACUGACUGACUAGAGUAUGGUAGAGGGUGGUGGAAUUUCCUGUGUAGCGGUGAAAUGCGUAGAUAUAGGAAGGAACACCAGUGGCGAAGGCGACCACCUGGACUAAUACUGACACUGAGGCUCGAAAGCGUGGGGAGCGAACAGG